GCUGGGUGUGGUGGCGCAUUCCUGUAAUCCCAGAUGCUUUGGAGGCUGAGGCAGGAGGACCACAGGUUUAAAGCCACCUCAGCAACUUAGGAAGGCCCUAAGCCACUCAGCAAGAAUCUGUCUCAA
Molecule: small RNA, 126 nt
Filed under: Marmota monax (woodchuck)
Lineage: Eukaryota; Metazoa; Chordata; Mammalia; Rodentia; Sciuridae
Source: RNAcentral